CGGCGAGUGAAGCGGCAACAGCUCAAAUUUGAAAUCUGGCCCUUGGGUCCGAGUUGUAAUUUGUAGAGGAUGCUUUUGGCGAGGUGCCUUCCGAGUUCCCUGGAACGGGACGCCAUAGAGGGUGAGAGCCCCGUCUGGUCGGACACCGAGCCUCUGUAAAGCUCCUUCGACGAGUCGAGUAGUUUGGGAAUGCUGCUCAAAAUGGGAGGUAUAUGUCUUCUAAAGCUAAAUAUUGGCCAGAGACCGAUAGCGCACAAGUAGAGUGAUCGAAAGAUGAAAAGCACUUUGAAAAGAGGGUUAAAAAGUACGUGAAAUUGUUGAAAGGGAAGCGCCUAUGACCAGACUUGGGCCCGGUGAAUCAUCCAGCGUUCUCGCUGGUGCACUUUGCCGGGCACAGGCCAGCAUCA
This 407-nucleotide ribosomal RNA is filed under the name Akanthomyces lecanii. RNAcentral's name for it is "partial large subunit ribosomal RNA". It matches the Rfam family "Eukaryotic large subunit ribosomal RNA", at positions 87 to 504 of the family's 3401-position model. The record is from RNAcentral. Lineage: Eukaryota; Fungi; Ascomycota; Sordariomycetes; Hypocreales; Cordycipitaceae.